CUUUUUCUUCACCGAUGUAAGAGAGAGGGUUGCAUAUGCUGCCAGCUUUCAGUAAGCUAGCGGCCUACACCAAUCACAUGGCUGGACACAGGAGGGCAAGGAGGCCUUUUCCAAAGGGGGAGGAGAGAGGAUGACACAUGUUGGGCACCCUGGCGACAUGCCCAGCC
Telopea speciosissima is the source of this 167-nucleotide long non-coding RNA. RefSeq lists it as uncharacterized. NCBI's taxonomy places the organism in Eukaryota, Viridiplantae, Streptophyta, Magnoliopsida, Proteales, Proteaceae. The transcript has 3 exons. The record is from RefSeq and is a predicted model, not a curated record.